UUGAAAGCACUUUUAGGGGGGAGGAAGGCGCUCGACCUCAUACGUCGGAGGAUUGACUUAACCCAGAGAAAAAGCACCGGCUAACUCUGUGCCAGCAGCCGCGGUAAUA
This 109-nucleotide ribosomal RNA is filed under the name uncultured bacterium. RNAcentral's name for it is "partial 16S ribosomal RNA". The record is from RNAcentral.